GUAAGUGUCAGUGAGUGCCAGUGACCAUCAGUAUUAUUAUUGUCAUGUACUUUUAUAAAUUGACCUUCUAAUUGUCCGACUUGACCAAGGCUUUGCAAGUGACAAAUUGGAGAUCUGCUGGAAUUUUUAUUAUACUUUAGUUCUCUUUUAGGCUACUGGUGAAAUAGUGCAGUAGAGUCACAAUUCAUGGAAAAAAUGAUUAACUCAGCAAAAUGGAGAGGGAGCUCAGUGAACCUCAGUGGAACUUGGAGAGGUAGGUCUUGAACUGAGUGAGCUUGAGAUGGAAGAAUUUUGGCCUCAACAUAACCACACAUUGCUUUGCUGAACCCUUUUGGAAAGAGAAGAAGGACUGAGUAUUGUGUAGGGAUGUUGAAUCAGAAAAUGAGACUAAAAACAAGUUAAGACUGCAUUGUGAGGAGCUGCACAGGGCUGGGAAUGCCCUAGGACUGGCUGCAGGGAUUGAAAUGGGCCCUGAGGCCGGGGCCCGAGUUGCCGGAGUCCUUCUUCAUGAGUGGCAUGGCACCCUCUCCGUUGGUGUCUCAAACACUCAGUACUGAGUGGGGUGACUCUCAGAGCUGUCCCUGUAGCUUCAUAGGUACAGAAUGACUGGCUGGCCUUCAAAGAGAGGGAUACCCAGUAGCUCCAUUGAAAAGACAAGUUGUGCAGAGUGUGGAGUUUCAUUCUUAAGUUUGCUUCACCCAAGAGAACCAACCUGUCGGGGUUGGAAGCAAUUGUAAGUGGGGUCAGAAGAAAUGGAGUUAGGCACCCUGUUAAUGCAUAUUUCUGGAGAAUAUACCUACAGAUGACAUAUAAACUGCUUUUGAAUUUUUGGUUACAAUUUUUCAUUGGGGAGAAGAGACUUAGAAAAAAGCAGUAUAGGCUCAGGCUGGGUGUGGUGGUGCACACCUGUAAUCCCAGAGACUGAGUGAGGAGGCUGAGGCAGGAGGGCCACAAGUUUGAGGCCAGCCUCAGCAAUUUAGCAAGGCCCUAAGCAACUCAGUGAGACCCUGCCUCAAAAUGAAAAAUAACAAAGGUCUGAGAAUGUGGCUCAUCCCCAGUACCAAAAGAAAGGAAGGAAAAAAAGAAAAGAAAGAAUCAUGGCUGCCUACAGGAGACAGGCCCAGAAGGAAAAUAAGUGAUGACACCAGGUAGGUCCUGUGGAAAGCAUACACAAAUGACAAGAGGUAGCCCAGUUACCUCCUGCAAGAGAGCUGUCCCCUGGGGCCUGAUUUUUGACUUUCCAAGAGAGAUUAGAAAUUAGGAAUUUUAUGUGAAUCUUCCUGGGUUUUGAAAAUUAGAAACAAAUUCAUAUUUUCCCCCCAAGGUCACCAGGCAAAAUAGCCAGAAAAAAAUGGAUUAUUUUAAGCUUGUAGGUGGAAAGAAAACAUGUCACUUGGGCACUAAGUGGCUCAGCUACAUGACCCUGCUGGUCUUGGUGUCAGGCUCCAGACUUGGCA
Molecule: long non-coding RNA, 1457 nt
Filed under: Marmota monax (woodchuck)
Lineage: Eukaryota; Metazoa; Chordata; Mammalia; Rodentia; Sciuridae
Source: RNAcentral